GACGGAGGGUGCUAGCGUUGUUCGGAUUUACUGGGCGUAAAGGGCGCGUAGGCGGCCCUGUCAGUCGGGUGUGAAAGCCCGGGGCUCAACCCCGGAACGGCACCCGAGACGGCAGGGCUGGAGACCGGGAGAGGAGGGUGGAAUAGCCAGUGUAGAGGUGAAAUUCGUAGAUAUUGGCUGGAACACCGGUGGCGAAAGCGGCUCGCUGGCCCGGUUCUGACGCUGAGACGCGAAAGCGUGGGGAGCGAACAGG
This 253-nucleotide ribosomal RNA is filed under the name uncultured bacterium. RNAcentral's name for it is "partial 16S ribosomal RNA". It matches the Rfam family "Bacterial small subunit ribosomal RNA", at positions 524 to 776 of the family's 1533-position model. The record is from RNAcentral.